RNAcentral lists this ribosomal RNA (427 nucleotides) under Reticulitermes virginicus (dark southern subterranean termite). RNAcentral describes it as "partial 16S ribosomal RNA". The record is from RNAcentral. Lineage: Eukaryota; Metazoa; Arthropoda; Insecta; Blattodea; Rhinotermitidae.
CGCCUGUUUAUCAAAAACAUCUUUUCUUGUUAGUUUUUGAAGUAUGGCCUGCCCGCUGACUUUAGUGUUGAAGGGCCGCGGUAUUUUGACCGUGCAAAGGUAGCAUAGUCAUUAGUUCUUUAAUUGUGAUCUGGUAUGAAUGGCUUGACGAGGCAUGGGCUGUCUUAAUUUUGAAUUGUUUAUUGAAUUUGGUCUUUGAGUUAAAAUUCUUAGAUGUUUUUAUGGGACGAGAAGACCCUAUAGAGUUUGACAUUUAUUAUGGUCUCUUUUCUGUUUGUGAGGGUUCACUGGGCCGUUUAAUGUGUUUUGUUGGGGUGAUGGGAGGGAUAUAAUUUAACCCCUCCUUUGUGUUGUUAUAUUUAUUUAUAUUUGUUUGAUCCAUUUAUUUUGAUUGUAAGAUUAAAUUACCUUAGGGAUAACAGCGUAA